AAGAAAGUAACUAAGGGCGCAUGGCGGAUGCCUUGGCUCACUCAGGCGAUGAAGGACGCGAUAAGCUGCGAUAAUCCGCGGGUAGGUGCAAAUAACCAUUGAUCCGCGGGUUUCCGAAUGGGACAACCCGUAUGUCUUGACGACAUUCAUCCACUUUUAAUGGUGGAGGCCAACGGAGGGAACUGAAACAUCUUAGUACCUCCAGGAAAAGAAAAUAAAUUAAUGAUUCCCCCAGUAGUGGCGAGCGACCGGGGAACAGCCCAAACCGUCCGGGUCUCAGGCCCGGUCGGGGUAGUAGGACCGCGUCGUUGCACUUUAAUUUUGAGUGGAACCGGCUGGAAAGCCGGGCCAUAGCGGGUGAAAGCCCCUUACACGAAGAGAUUAAAGGCAUAGCGGUAUCCUGAGUAACGCGGAGCACGAGGAAUUCUGCGCGAAUCCGCCGGGACCAUCCGGCAAGGCUAAAUACUCGAGUGAGACCGAUAGUGUACCAGUACCGUGAGGGAAAGGUGAAAAGCACUUCUACAAGAAGAGUGAAAUAGUUCCUGAAACCAUGCGCCUACAAGCGGUCGGAGCGUGUGUUUACACGUGACGGCGUGCCUUUUGCAUAAUGAACCUACGAGUUACCAUCACCGGCGAGGCUAAGUCUCAUGAGAGACGCAUCCGCAGUGAAAGCGAGCCUGAACAGGGCGAAAUACAGUCGGUGGGGGUAGACGCGAAACCAAGUGAUCUACACAUGUCCAGGUUGAAGUCCCGGUAACACGGGAUGGAGGACCGCACCAAUAAGCGUUGAAAAGCUUCUGGAUGAGGUGUGUGUAGGAGUGAAAGGCCAAUCAAACUUGGAGAUAGCUCGUACUCCCCGAAAGGCAUUUAGGUGCCGCGUGCGACGAUCCGCGUGAGAGGUAGAGCGACCGAUAGGUCGAGAGGGCUUCACCGCCUGUCAAGACCUGACGAACUCCGAAUGCUCACGCGCCGCAGUUGCGCAGUAAGGGGGCGGGUGCUAAGGUCCGUCCCCGAGAGGAGAAGAAUCCAGACCGUCGUCUAAGGUCCCGGAAUUCUGCCUGAGUUAGUCUAACGAAGUCUGGUCCCCGUGACAGCCAGGAUGUUGGCUUGGAAGCAGCCAUUCAUUCAAAGAGUGCGUAACAGCUCACUGGUCGAGGGUCCGGGCAUGGAUAAUAAUCGGGUAUAAGGCAGAUACCGAAGGCGCGGGAUAGCAAAUCAUAAAAGUAUCGGUAGGGGAGCAUUCCAUCGGCGUCGAAUGCGGGGGUUGACCCCCGCUGGAGCUUAUGGAAACGCAAAUGUAGGUAUAAGUAACGACAAGGAGGGCGAGAACCCCUCCCGCCGUAAGUCCAAGGUUUCCCGGGCAAUGCCAGUCAUCCCGGGGUCAGUCGGGUCCUAAGCCUCAGCCUACUGGCGAGGGCGAUGGCCUAAACGGUUAAUAUUCCGUUACUUCCCUUUGGAGCGAUGUGGUGACGGAGCAGUGACACGGCCGCGGGGCGACGGAAGUCCCCGUUGAAGAGUGUAGGCGUUGACAUGGGCAGGCAAAUCCACCCAUGGAGUCGACCUUGACAGUAUGGAUUUCCCUUCGGGGCGAUCCAAUAGCGCCGGUAAUCAUACUCCCAAGAAAACCCGCUAAGCAUAUCCAUAGGGAACCCGUACCGCAAACCGACACAGGUAGACGGGUAGAACAUACUAAGGCGUUGAGAGAUUCAUGGUUAAGGAACUAGGCAAACUGACCCUGUAACUUCGGGAUAAAGGGUCCUCGUGAUUUUACGAGGCGCAGAGAAUAGGUCCAGGCAACUGUUUAACAAAAACACAGGGCUGUGCUAACACGAAAGUGGAUGUAUACAGCCUGACACCUGCCCGGUGCCGGAAGGUUAAGAGGAGAGGUCAUCCCUUUAGGGUGCCGCCUUGAAUUGAAGCCCCGGUAAACGGCGGCCGUAACUAUAACGGUCCUAAGGUAGCGAAAUUCCUUGUCGGGUAAGUUCCGACCUGCACGAAUGGUGUAAUGAUCCGGACGCUGUCUCGACCAUGAUCUCAGUGAAAUUGUAGUAUCGGUGAAGAUGCCGAUUACCCGCGAUGGGACGAAAAGACCCCGUGAACCUUUACUAUAGCUUAGCAUUGACCUUGGUCAUCCGAUGUGUAGGAUAGGCCGGAGGCAUCGACGCGGUCGCGCCAGCGGUCGUUGAGCCAUCCUUGAAAUACGGCCCUUUGGCUGUCUGAGGUCUAACGCGCUAAUUGCGCGGACACUGCUUGGUGGGUAGUUUGACUGGGGUGGUCGCCUCCAAAAGCGUAACGGAGGCUUCCAAAGGUGCCCUCCGGCCGAUUGGUAACCGGCCUUAUAGAGUGCAAUGGCAUAAGGGCGCUUGACUGGGAGGCAGACAUGCCGAGCAGGCAGGAAACUGGGGCAUAGUGAUCCGGUGCAAGUGUAUGGAAACUGCAUCGCUCAAAGGAUAAAAGGUACUCCGGGGAUAACAGGCUGAUCCCCCCCAAGAGCUCAUAUCGACGGGGUGGUUUGGCACCUCGAUGUCGGCUCGUCACAUCCUGGGGCUGGAGAAGGUCCCAAGGGUUGGGCUGUUCGCCCAUUAAAGUGGCACGCGAGCUGGGUUCAGAACGUCGUGAGACAGUUCGGUCUCUAUCUAUCGUGGGCGCAGGAGUUUUGCGUGGUGCCGUCACUAGUACGAGAGGACCGUGAUGGACAGACCUCCGGUUUGCCGGUUGUGCCGCCAGGCGCACCGCCGGGUAUCUGAGUCUGGUAUGGAUAAGCGCUGAAAGCAUCUAAGCGCGAAGCCUUCCGCAAGAUGAGAACUCCAUAGAGGGUCGUCGCAGACGACGACGUUGAUAGGGCGCAGGUGUAAAGACAGCGAUGUCAAAGCCGAGCGCUACUAAUUGCCCGAACGCUUUCUUGG
This 2906-nucleotide ribosomal RNA is filed under the name Prevotella sp. S7-1-8. RNAcentral describes it as "Bacterial large subunit ribosomal RNA". It matches the Rfam family "Bacterial large subunit ribosomal RNA". The record is from Rfam by way of RNAcentral. Lineage: Bacteria; Pseudomonadati; Bacteroidota; Bacteroidia; Bacteroidales; Prevotellaceae.